CAGGUUGUUUUCACCUCCCUGUGUCUGCUUUGCAAGAAUAUCUCUCCCAUCAGAAGUGAGGACCCUUCGAUUCUGCGUGCUUCUUGUUUCUGGGGUCAUCUGAAUCAUGACCUUCCAUUGGGACACCUGGAUCAGGAGUGCAAUGCGUCAUGGACUUUUAAAAGGAGUCCCAGGUUCCUUAUCGUAAAAUGGGGACUUGGCAGAGGCAGCUCUGGUAUCGUUGAGAAUAGUCACAACAAGGAGGUCUGGGUAGCCCUGAAGACCACUGAGGGAGUGCCUUUUCAGGACAGUGAUGGUGAAGCUGCUUCCCGAAUGCCCACUCUCUGCUUACGGAGCAUCGAGCAUCGCUCUGUAAGUCUGUGAAAACCAGCUG
RNAcentral lists this long non-coding RNA (373 nucleotides) under Sus scrofa (pig). RNAcentral describes it as "lncRNA (ENSSSCG00050057044.1)". Lineage: Eukaryota; Metazoa; Chordata; Mammalia; Artiodactyla; Suidae. The record is from RNAcentral.